Molecule: ribosomal RNA, 386 nt
Filed under: Clostridium butyricum
Lineage: Bacteria; Bacillati; Bacillota; Clostridia; Eubacteriales; Clostridiaceae
Description: bacterial SSU rRNA
Rfam family: Bacterial small subunit ribosomal RNA
Source: RNAcentral
CCUGAUGCAGCACGCCGCGUGAGUGAUGACGGUCUUCGGAUUGUAAAGCUCUGUCUUUAGGGACGAUAAUGACGGUACCUAAGGAGGAAGCCACGGCUAACUACGUGCCAGCAGCCGCGGUAAUACGUAGGUGGCAAGCGUUGUCCGGAUUUACUGGGCGUAAAGGGAGCGUAGGUGGAUAUUUAAGUGGGAUGUGAAAUACCCGGGCUUAACCUGGGUGCUGCAUUCCAAACUGGAUAUCUAGAGUGCAGGAGAGGAAAGGAGAAUUCCUAGUGUAGCGGUGAAAUGCGUAGAGAUUAGGAAGAAUACCAGUGGCGAAGGCGCCUUUCUGGACUGUAACUGACACUGAGGCUCGAAAGCGUGGGGAGCAAACAGGAUUAGAUACC